AAGGCAACUUUUGCAUAUUAAAGUUGUGAGGAGAGCCACUAAAAUAAAGUAGAAUAUAAUAAUUUAUGAACUAAGAGGGGAAACAAAAGGAAAUCAAAACUCAGUCCAUUUAAUAGAAGCCAAGAAUGGAGAAGAGAAAAAAACAUAGUGAAAGCAAAGCAUGAGUCCAUUCUGCAACCAUAAGUCUAUUUCUCUGCUCACUUCUGUUUUGUGAGUUUGACUGUGAACUCAAAUUCAUCAGGACUUCAUGUGGCCUAAAUCCACUGUGAUCCUUCAGAGGUUUUAGUCUUUGCUUUUCCAAAAGCACCCAAAACUUCAUUGGCCCCUAGAGUUCCAAACAUUGAACGUCAAUUUUUCAGGUUAAUGCUCUUCUGAUUUUGCACAGCAUGUAAAUGCGAAUUCUAAACUUAUAUGUAGGUAAUCCCAUAAUUAUAAUUUCUAGGAGGAAUCAUUUUUUUCUAUACAUAAACCAGGAGUGAGGACAAAUAUUUUGGUCUUUUUCUUGUGCUCUUUAGUACCCUCUUCUAGUCCACGAUUUGACUGAGAGUCCCAGAACUAAGAGGUCUAAUUCUACCUCAAACUCUCACACAGAGAAAAUUUCCCCAUAAUAGCCAAGCAUUGCCCAUCAUUUUCAUGACCUGCAGUCACUUUCCAUAAACUUUCCUCUCCCAAAUCUCCCACUGUUUCAGAUAACAUGAUGUCAUUUGUUUAUUGUAAAGAAUGUAUCCAGAAUUCAUAAGUUAUUUUUUUGAAGAAUUUUUUAAAUUUCAAUACUGUUAAUAGAUGUGUAAUCUUUGCUUUAUAAUACAUGGAUAUUUUGUGAGGAUCAAUUGAAAUGAUAUAUAAGGACACAAUUUAUAAAUUUCUUGUCAGUAAGUGUAUGCUUUGCCUUAUCAUUACUAUUAUUAUAUAACACCUUCCUAUAUUGUCAGGUUAUUAUCUUUUAAUUCUGUGUUGCACAGAAGAAUCAACAGAUGCUUACAGUGAUGAAGUUAUGAGGAAGAAAAUGAGUAAAAAAUUGUUCAAAAUGCAAUUGGUAUUAAUUCCUCUUCCAUACUAUGAUUUCUUCUACAUACUCUAUUUCAGUAGCAUAACUUGCCCUUAGGGCAUGGCUUUACUUUGAAAUGCUAGCAGUCAGAAGUUGAGUUUACUUGCAUCAUUUCUUCCACUUUCUGAUUAUGAUUAUGAUUCUAACUUAACUUUCAUGACACUCUCAGUUUCUAAUUGGUGAAAAAAGAAGUUAUACUACGAUGAGAAUUAAAUAUUAAAUUUAAGUAUGAAUAUGUAGACGUCUUUUGAAAAUUCAAAAUAAUAAUUUUAUACUUUUAGAGAGUCUUGAAAAAUGUAUUAUCAAUUAUGUUUUAUUGGUCAGUGCAGAUUAGAGCACAUGAUAUGAAGAUAGGCAAGGGAAUACACAGAGAAAAAUCAUGCAUUUAACACUGUUAGAAAAAUCCUCUGCUUAUGUAUGGAGAGAGGUCUAUUUUUGUAUGUCCUCAUGGAACCAUGAACUUCAAGUGUCAAUUCUAAACUUCAAUUUAAUACACUGAUAUAAGUAAACAUUACUUGUGGGUCAAAUUUUGGCAUUUGUAGCAUCACAAAUAUGUGAAUCUAUUUGCUUUCUGAGUUCAGAUAAUAAAUUCUACAACAUAACCUAUUUGCUUUUUAGUCCCUAAGUUUGGAUAGUUUAUAGUGAGAGUCACAUUGCAAGAAAUGUCAUUCCUAUAUACAAAAAAAAAAAAUGACCUCAAUCUAUUCAGUUCCUUAGUUAGAUAAAAAGAGUUUGAAUAGCAAGGAAUAUGAUUGUUUGUAUUUGUAUACAUACGCAGAGAAAGGACAGAGAGAGAGAAUGAGGUCUGCAGUCAGAAGUCUUAUUCUGUCACCUGAAAUUGGUGAGAACUGAAGUUUUCCUCAUUUAAAAAUUUAUGACAAUAGAUACCUCUAAUUUGUGAUCCCAGAUAAGAAUAUGGCUGUAAAAUAACUGUAAAUUAUUCUUCUGAAACCUUAAAAUAUUAUUUAAACAUCAGACAUUAUUUUAGUAUUUUGUACAUUUUCAUAUUUACCAGGCUAUUGGAAGAAGCAGGAAUGUAAUAGACACAUUUUAUAGGAAAAAGCUUUUUAUUGAAGUACAGUUGAUUUACAAUAUAUAUUAAUUUCAAGUGUAGAGCACACUGCUUCAGAUUUUUUCAGAUUAAACUCCAUUGAAAGUUAUUACAAGCUAAUGGAUAUAGUUCCCUGUGCUAUACAGUAUAUCCUUGUUUCUUAUCUAUUUUUUACAUAGUAGUUUGUAUCUCUUAAUCCCAUAUCCUUAAAAUUCCCCUCCCCCAUCUCCUCUCUCCUCUGGUCAGUACUAGUUUGUUUUCCAUACUUAUAAGUCUAUUUCUGUUUUGCUGUAUAUCCUUGUUUGCAUUUUUUUUCUUUUUCAGCUACACCCGUGGCAUAUGGAAGUUCCCAGGCCAGGGCUCGAAUCUGAACUGUAGCUGCAACCUAUGCCACAGCUGCAGCAAUGCUGGAUCCUUAACACACUAUAACAGACCAGGGUUCAAACUCACACCUCAGUAGUGACUGGAGCUGCCCCAGAUGCACCACAUCAGGAACUCUUGUACUAUUUUUUUAGAUUGCAUUGUAAGUGUUAUCAUACAGUAUUCAUCUUUCUUUGGCAGACAUUUCACAAAACGUAAUAAUCUCUAAGUCCAUCCACAUUGCUGCAAAUGGCAGAAUUUUCAUUCUGUUUUAUGGCUGAGUAAUAUUUCAUUGUAUAUACAUACACCACCUCUUUUUUAUCUCCUCAUUGUUGAUGGACAUUUGGGUUGCUUACAUCUCAGGGCUGUUGUAAAUAGUGCUGUUAUAAUUGAGGUGCCUGUAUUUUUCAAAUUAGUGCUUUAAUUUUUUUUCUGGAUAUAUACUCAGGAGUGGAGUUGCUAGCUAUAUUUUUAUGAUGAUAGUUAUAUUUUUAGUUUUUUGAAGCACCUCUAUAUUGUUUUCUAUAAUGGCUGUACCAAUUUAUACUCCCACCAACAGUGUACAAGGGUUCCCUUAGGAAAAUAAAAUUUUAUUAUCAUUGGGGUCCAUAAGAAGCUGCCCCAAAAUUUGCCUCAAUGGCAUAUUAUUUUGAAUUCAGGUUAUUUCAGAAAUGGCCAGAGUAAGAGGGAAACUCUGACCCUCCUUUCUGUCUCCCUGUAAGCAGGAAAUAAAUCUCUCAUAUGAAUGGUGCACUCCCUGUAAGUAGAAGGACACCCUUACUUCCAAAGAUAGGGAAUUUGGCCAAGAAACCUACAUGAAAAAACUUGUUAGUUGUUUAAUUUACAACCUCAAGCCCAUACUCUGUUUUUAUUCUUCACUAAUUGGGCACCCCAAACCUGAGUUUUCUUGUCCUGUCAGUGCCUCAAAAAUUUAUCUUUUCUUUGUCUAAAAAGUGUAAAAGCUGCCUGCUUUGGCUGCUUCUUAGUUUUCAUUUCUGUGAGAUCUCCAGGAGCAUGAAUUAAAAUGUGUUUCUUUUUCUCAUGUGAAUCUGUUUAGCAUCAGUUUUAUUAUUCAUCCAGCCAUAAGAACUCACAAGGGGUAAAAGAGGAAAUACUCCCCUCCCCAACAUUAUAAAUAACUUUAGUUUGAAGAAUUGUAUCAAAGCAAAAAAAUGGGGAUCCCGUUUGCCUAUCAUCUAAGAUAAUUUGUUUACUGUUAUGAUAGCAAGCACUAUGAAAAGGAAAAAAAAUGUGUCCUAUGGUAUUUGAGGCAUAACAAUAAUUCACAGAGGAAGACACACUAACCUUGUUGUUAUAAUGGGUUGCUAUGAUCACAAGGGAGAGCUGGAAGACCAUUACAAACUCACCUCUUGAUGCCUUAGUUUUUGCAUGGCUGAUAUUACUUCCUUAUUUCUUAAGGUGUAGAUCAAGGGGUUUAGAAGAGGGGUAAAAACAGUGUAAAAUAUUGAGAGGACCUUGUCCACUGGGAGGUUGUUAAAAGGCCAGGCAUAGAUGAAAAUGCAGGGUCUGAAGAAGAGGGGUCACCACAGUGAUAUGGGCAGUCAGGGUGGCCCUUGCCUUGGCCAUGCCCACUGAGGGAUGCCGCCACACAGUAACCAGGAUGACUGUGUAGGAGACUAGCAAGAGCACAAAGGAGCUCAUGGCAUUAGACCACUGUCUGAAAGCAUCAGGACCUCAAGAGUGAAGGUGUCUGUGCAGGCAAGUUUGAUAACCAGGGGCAAGUCACAGAAAAAACUGUCCACUUGGUUGGGUCCACAGAAUGGAAGGUUUACUGUGAAGACCAGCUGACUUACUGAGUGCAGAAUCCCAAUGAGCCAGGAGCCCACCACGAGGCUGGUGCACCUGCGCUCACUCAUGAUGGUCGCAUAAUGCAGGGGGCGACAUAUGGCUACAUAUCUAUCAUAUGCCAUGGCCACAAGGAGCAUCAUCUCACCACCAGCAAAGACGUGCAGGAAGAAUAUCUGGGCCAUGCAACCCUCGAAAGAGAUGGUCCUGUGCUCCUCAAGGAAGUCAACAUUCAUCUUGGGGGUGGCAAAUGUAGACAGACAUACAUCAGUGAAAGAGAGGUUACUGAGUCGAAAGUUCAUGGGUGUGUGCAGGGUGGGUUCAGAGAUGACUGUGAGCACAAUGAGGAGGUUCCCCAGCACAAUGGAUAAAUACAAAAGUGUAAAAAGUGCAAAAUAGAAAAGUUGUAGCUCUCGAGGACCUGAAAGACCGUGCAAUACAAAUUCAGUCACUCCUGAUUUAUUUUCUUGAUCCAUGAUUUCAAAUUGCUGAAAUUGGAUCAGAAAUGUUCCUGUAAAGUGAAAUGGAAAAGCAUCGUAAGAUUGAGAGAGUAAAUGACCAAAGUCAAGCCAGGUAUCACAUUGUAUUCAACACAUUUAUGUUCCUCAUUAGCACACAAAAUACACAUUGCAUACAAUCAUUUAUUUUGUCAUGACUGGAUAACCUUGGCUUUCAUCUCUGCAUCUGAGCAUGAUAGUUUUAUUCUAAAAACAGAAGUUUACCCAUCAUCUUACAAUUUCUAAAUUCCUGAAAUUAGAAAGAAAGUCUAGGGUCAUACUGACAGGUUUCAAAAGCUAUCUCUUGUAAUUCUUAGCACUAUGACCUUGGGCAAGCUAAUUAAAUUCUCUGUGCUUCAGUUUUUGUAUCUGCAAAUUGGGGGAAAUAAUAGAAUGUGGCUCAGAGGAUUGCUGUAAGGAUUAAAAGAGUUACAGGUAUUUCCUGCUUAUUCAAAGUUUGCUUUAUACCACUUUGCUUUUACUAAAGACUUACAUUAGCACCUGUUUUCAAUAACUGAAAGAAAUCCAAAGAGGGUUUUUGCUUUUUGAAAAAAGGUAAAUAAAAUGUAAUCAUAGGGUUCAGCGAGAUUUUUUUUUUUUGUGGCACUUUAUUACAUACCAUAUGACUGUAAGAAUAAGCUUAGAAUAAACAUGGCUGAAUCUGCAGAAAAGGUCCUGAAGUUCAAUACCAUAUAGAAAAAAGAACUCACUUCUAGAAUAUUAACAGGGAGUUCAAACAUAGAGAAACAAAUUCAAUCUCAUUCACAGAACGGAAAAUACAGACAAUUAUAUUAAAGUAGUUUUUUUACAGACAGCUAUUUGAAGUGGCAGAAGUAUUAAAAUUUACACGAGUCUACUCAUUUGCCAUAUAGACUCACUAAGCAAAUUGGAAUUUGUCCAGUCUUUUUAGUUCAUAAGUUCCACACAAAGACACUGAGUUAUCAUGAUGAUACGAGAAAUAUGUUCUUCUCAGAUGGCUUGCGAUACUUCUUAUACUUUAUACUCUAUUUAAAAGGAGGAGAAAGUGAAAAUGUAUUUCUCAUUGAUGAGUAACUUUGCCCCAGUGGGGCCAUUGCUAACAAGCCCUUUCAUGUUAUGGACUAACAAAUAGCAUUUCUAUCUAGGGAUUCACACUUCCAAAAAUCAUGCAAAAAUUGCCAUAUUGUAAAAGUAUAAAUCACCUAGGCAAGAGAAAAUAUAUCCUCUUUCUUUCUUCUUUUCCCAAUUAAACAUAAUUCAGAAAUGUCUGCAAAUUCAGUUUCUACCAGAAUAAGAAUUUUAAAAUGAGCGAGACAAAGUGCUUAUCUGUAAGUAGCCUGCAAUUUAGAAGAGCAAUUAGAAAUAAACAAUGAAAAUAUACAAAGGAAAUAGAAGAGCAUGCAUAUUUUAAAAGAAGUAACAAAAUUACAUAGGUGUUCAACCUUGGGACAGACUGUUUUCUGUUGGAAAGAUCAGGAAAGGAAGAAGUACUAAGAAGGAAGAGAAGGGUCAAGGAAAAGGAUGAGGUAAAUACAAAAGGGACGGGAGACAAAAUACAGUAAUCAUAAAUGGCCUUAAACAUGAUAUAAGAUUUUGAAAGGCAGAGAUAAUGAGUGAAGGAAGAUGACACAGCUCGUGGACUGUGGCACCAUGAGUGCCCAUAGAGAUCCCUACCUGCUGCUGCCCUCUUUGCCUGCCAUGGACCCUUCAGGGUUGGCCAAAAACCCAGGGCUCCAGGAAGGGUGCACCAGAUGGAGGAGGUGCAGAAUGUCGACAACCAGCACCCACUUAUGCUGAAUCAGUUAUUCAUGAAGAUUCUGUUUCAAUGACUCAAGGAGAGCCCUUGAGUCUCCCUUGUCAGAAGGAGCUAGUGGGGGCUGUGAUGCAUCCCAGUGAGGUCUUCUGCUCAGUUCCUGGAAUACUGUCCCUUCUCAGUUCUACAUCUAAAUACAAAGUGACCAUUGCUGAAAUCCAGAGGCGACUAUCCUGCCUGCGUGCUUAAAUGCCUCUUUACUGGGAGGUGUUCUCCGAAGAGCCAAAUCUAAAAAUGGUAGCUGGUCCUUGCACUAGAAAUUGGACAAGAUUGGGUUGAAUCUUUCUGCUCACAUUAACCCUCCUGAUGUCUUUAGUAGAAGGUUAGGCUGAUCAUUUGGCCUGGGACGUUGUCUCUGUCUUCGAGGCAGAAUUUCCCAGUAAAUCCAUGGCCAAAUAUUUAACUGGACCUCAUCUCAGAAGAUGGACUGAGAUGGCAACUGGGAAAAACAUGCUGCUGGCCACACAGCCAAGUGUGUAAGGAAUUCAUGAAGCCUACCAAUCAAGAGGGAAUUCCCAACGAGAACAACUGGCCCACCCCAGUACUACUCAUCUCAUAUCAGCCUGACUACCUGUGGGUUUGGCAGCCACAGGUAAUCAGUGGCAUCUGUGCCACUGUGGCUGUUGUGCAGAACUAUGUAAAAGAUGUCCUAACAGUCACAGAUAAAUCAGGUAUGAAUCCUGGAGACUAGAGUCCAGCCAAUUCUAGCAAAGCCCUGGGGAAGAUGGAGAAACAUAGGAAAUAAAAUGGGCAUGAACAAGGGCCAGAGAGUUUGGAAGGAAACGGACUCCAAAUCCAUUCUCAACCAAAACAGUCUGGAACCCCUCUUGUCUGGGAGACAGAGUUUGUUAUCCACAUUCCCAUUAGAAAGGGAUCCAUUUCCAAAUCUAAACAUCUCCUCCUGGAUUCCUUGUAUUUCUCUAGAGAGCACUGAAGUGCAUCCUUAACUCUGGGUGAGAUGACAGGUACUGGUUCUUUUUAUUAUUAAGCUUAUAUCUUAUUUUUUGAGCCUCAUUCCUUUUUCUGAACGUGGUGCCACAAGUUUUUGAACCUUUUACAUAAAUUCCCUGGGCGAAACGAAAACACACACACACACUCAGCUGUUGAAAUGUCAAAUUCAUGUGAUUCAGAUCAACAAUAACUUGCAGGGUUAAGGUAAAAGUAUUUAUGUACCUUCUUCAGGUCUAUUCCUACACCCUUAGGAGGCAAAGAUUCUAUCUGCUUAGCAACUGGUUAAUAGGUGGCAUUUGACAUACUUUUACCCCUUGCUCAAGGGGGCUCUUUGGAUUUUACAAAAUUUGUAGAAACAAAGCCGGCUGAUGAUUUAAUUAAUUUUAAUGAUAUUUCAAUUUAAUUAAUUUAAUUUAAUCCAAUUUCUUCAAAUUGGACUCACUUUGAAAAAAGACUUGUUCCUUUAAGGUAUGGAAAGUUUAUUUUGCAUGUUUAUCUCACACCUUGGUGUUUGAGGAAAACUUGAAAAGCAUAGGAAUGAAGUUUUGGAUUAUUUUGUUUUGUUUUGUUUUUUUGUUGUCUGUCACCCCAAGUCCUAGAGGAGGCUCUGCAUUUUGAGAAACUACUGAAUAUACAGAUUGUAUUUAUGCAUAAUUUAAUGGGGUCUAUAAAUAUGGGUGCACCUCUUAUGACUUCUUGAGAAAUGGGAGUCAAUUUUAAUAUUAACUAUUAAAUGUGUCAGGGUAAACUAAGUCUUAGCUGUAGGUUUUAGUCAUAUGUACACAAGGUAUGAAGAAUUAAGAGGAAGCAUCCUGAGCUCUGUUCUUGACACAGGAGACUAUUUAACUGAAGCUCUCUGUUCACAGAGCAGUACCUUUGUCUCAUUCCUGUUAAGCUGACCCAGAAGAUUAAGUGUGAGGUAGAAUGUGUGCGUGGAUGAAAAUGGAGAUUUGAAAUUGAAAUCCUUGCCUAUAAAUAUUCCUCAAAUAAUUGUAAAUAUGAAACAUGUAUAAUAAAAGUCUUCUUAAUUUAAGAAAAAGAAAAGAAAGAAUUUCUGUAUUUAGCUAAACGGAGAUCAGUAGUGACCUUGAAAGAAUUGAUUUUAGUGGAAUAUGGAGAUGAAAGCCUGAUUAGAGUAGGAAUAAGAGAACAAAAGAAAGAGAUAAUAGAGACAGUGUGAAUAAUCCUGCAGAAGUUUCAUAAUCUCUGAAAGAGAAGAAAAGAAAUGACAUAUUAGAAGAGUAGAAAUCAGAGGUCCCAUCAUGGCUCAGCAGAAACAAAUCUGACUAGUAUCCAUAAAGACACAGGUUCAAUCCCUGGCCUCACUUAGUGGGUUAAGGAUCCGGAAUUGCUGUGACCUGUGGUGUAGGUCACAGACACAGCUCAGAUUUGGCAUUGCUGAGUCUGUGGCAUAGACUGGUGGCUACAGCUCUAAUUCAGCCUCUCGCCUGGGAACUUCCAUAUGCCAUAGUUGCAGCCC
Molecule: long non-coding RNA, 8985 nt
Filed under: Sus scrofa (pig)
Lineage: Eukaryota; Metazoa; Chordata; Mammalia; Artiodactyla; Suidae
Description: lncRNA (ENSSSCG00040066240.1)
Source: RNAcentral